ACGUAGCUCAGUUGGAUAGAGCAACAGUUUCCUAAACUGUAGGUCGCAGGUUCAAUCCCUGCCGUGG
RNAcentral lists this transfer RNA (67 nucleotides) under marine eukaryotic metagenome. It matches the Rfam family "tRNA", at positions 5 to 66 of the family's 71-position model. From Rfam's summary of the family: Transfer RNA (tRNA) molecules are approximately 80 nucleotides in length. Their secondary structure includes four short double-helical elements and three loops (D, anti-codon, and T loops). The record is from RNAcentral.